RNAcentral lists this ribosomal RNA (485 nucleotides) under uncultured soil bacterium. Its description in RNAcentral is "bacterial SSU rRNA". It matches the Rfam family "Bacterial small subunit ribosomal RNA", at positions 26 to 517 of the family's 1533-position model. The record is from RNAcentral.
AGAAUGAACGCUGGCGGCGUGCUUUACACAUGCAAGUCGAGCGAGGCGUGUAGCAAUACACAGUCGAGCGGCGAACGGGUGAGUAACACGUGGAUCAUCUACCUUCAGGUGGGGGAUAACCCGGGGAAACUCGGGCUAAUACCGCAUAACAUCGUGAGAUCAAAGGGGCGCAAGUCCCGCAGAAGAGGAGUCCGCGUUCGAUUAGCUAGUUGGUAGGGUAAUGGCCUACAAGGCGACGAUCGAUAGCCGGCCUGAGAGGGUGAUCGGCCACACUGGAACUGAGACACGGUCCAGACUCCUACGGGAGGCAGCAGUGGGAAUUUGCGCAAUGGGCGAAAGCCUGACGCAGCAACGCCGCGUGGAGGAUGAAGGUCUUUGGAUUGUAAACUCCUAGUCGAGCGAAGGGAAAAAGGGUCUGGCCACGACCAGAUCAUUGAUUGUACCUGCAGAGGAACGCCCCGGACUAACUCUAGCGCCAGCAGCCG